This 402-nucleotide ribosomal RNA is filed under the name uncultured bacterium. RNAcentral's name for it is "bacterial SSU rRNA". It matches the Rfam family "Bacterial small subunit ribosomal RNA", at positions 355 to 774 of the family's 1533-position model. The record is from RNAcentral.
UGGGGAAUAUUGGACAAUGGGGGAAACCCUGAUCCAGCAAUGCCGCGUGAGUGAAGAAGGCCUUAGGGUUGUAAAGCUCUUUCGCCCGCGAAGAUAAUGACGGUAGCGGGAGAAGAAGCCCCGGCUAACUCCGUGCCAGCAGCCGCGGUAAUACGGAGGGGGCUAGCGUUGUUCGGAAUUACUGGGCGUAAAGCGUACGUAGGCGGAUGCGCAAGUUGGGGGUGAAAUCCCGGGGCUUAACCUCGGAAUUGCCCUCAAAACUGCACGUCUUGAGACCGAGAGAGGUAAGGGGAAUUCCUAGUGUAGAGGUGAAAUUCGUAGAUAUUAGGAAAAACACCAGUGGCGAAGGCGCCUUACUGGCUCGGUACUGACGCUGAGGUACGAAAGCGUGGGGAGCAAACA